Molecule: long non-coding RNA, 804 nt
Filed under: Coturnix japonica (Japanese quail)
Lineage: Eukaryota; Metazoa; Chordata; Aves; Galliformes; Phasianidae
Description: lncRNA (ENSCJPG00005008437.1)
Source: RNAcentral
CUGCCAUAACUCAGGAAGAGUUUGGACUCACAGCAAAAGUUGGUUCUACAAGGGUUAAUUUGUUGGAACUACCUUGGGGAUAGAAAUAUUUGGAAGCUCUGGAAUUCCUGCAUCUCCAAGUCCUCCCUCAAUGAAAUUGAAGAAGCACCUUUCUACCCCGUUAGAAACAAGGCUACAGAAAAGCUGUCCACUAGAUGUCACUGGUACUUCACUGAAAUAAGACUGAAAGCGCCGUGUCUGGUAGUCUUAGAGGUGAUGCACAGACUUUUCAGUGCUCUGUGCAAGAUGAAAGCAAGCAAGUGGAUAAUCUUUUCUGGAGAUGAUUCCAUAUUUUUACUCCAUUAGGAAUAAUUUCCUGAGGUGUGGUGGCCAGCUGUGCACACAGUGUAAACAAUAGAGGAUGCAAGUACUUGGUGAGUGUUUCCACUGGGAAGCUGUGAGUGGUGAAGAUCAGACAGACAUCCCAGUUAGAAAAUGGGAUCCUCUCUUCUCAGUGUUCCCAUCGAGGUUCUACAGGUCUCAUCUCUGUGCUUGGAAUUUUGGCCAUGACAAGAAUGGGAGUAUUUAGUGGCUCUGAUAGCCUGCAGGAAAUGUUCUGUGUAUGCUUUAGUGAGUAUGUAUUCUUCUGGGUAUAUGCUUCCUCUCUCUCCUGACCCCAGCUUCUCUCUCUUUUAUUUUUUUUUUACCUUUUCAGGAUGGGCUGUAUUUUUUCAAAGUUUAGUGCUUGCUCAUAUUUUCAUUGUUCCCUAAGUGGCACAACUGAAGUAUUACAGGCUGGUCAUCAGAGCCCUUUUAACAAGGGAA